Molecule: transfer RNA, 71 nt
Filed under: Candidatus Parcubacteria bacterium 4484_255
Lineage: Bacteria; Candidatus Parcubacteria
Also listed under: 1 other name
Description: tRNA-Trp
Rfam family: tRNA
About the family: Transfer RNA (tRNA) molecules are approximately 80 nucleotides in length.
Source: RNAcentral
GGGGGCGUGGUGAAGUGGUAUCAUAAGAGUCUCCAAAACUUUUGUCAGAGGUUCGAUUCCUCUCGCCCCUG